GCGAAAGUGGCGGAAUUGGUAGACGCACUGGAUUCAGGUUCCAGCGGGUAAAACCGUGGGGGUUCGAGUCCCCCCUUUCGCA
Molecule: transfer RNA, 82 nt
Filed under: Deltaproteobacteria bacterium
Lineage: Bacteria; Pseudomonadati; Myxococcota; Myxococcia
Also listed under: 2 other names
Description: tRNA-Leu
Rfam family: tRNA
About the family: Transfer RNA (tRNA) molecules are approximately 80 nucleotides in length. Their secondary structure includes four short double-helical elements and three loops (D, anti-codon, and T loops).
Source: RNAcentral